RNAcentral lists this non-coding RNA (27 nucleotides) under Mus musculus (house mouse). Lineage: Eukaryota; Metazoa; Chordata; Mammalia; Rodentia; Muridae. The record is from RNAcentral.
UACCCUCUAUCAGCAGCUGUGGGAGAC